GUGGGGAGGAGGAGGAAGGCCUCGGGCUGCGUGUUGCUCUGGCAACGAGCGGCCGCGGGUCGUCGAGGCCUUCGCCCCCUGAGGGAAGGGGGAGGGGGGGGGCCGUGAUGGGAGCUCGCCUCAGGGACGGGGACGGGCCGCGGUUCGGGCCCGCCAAAUGGGGGGUGGGGGGCACUGGUUAAGUGCGGUUUAAAGCCUCAAUUAGAAUUAAUCUGGGAAAGCAAUAAUAAUGAAGGAAAUUAAGAAAUUAUGCCAAUAUAUAUAUGUACUGCAGUAUCGUUACUUCUUGGUGGUGAUUAGUGCUCGCUGCAGGGAUGUCCUGCUGUCUGGAAAUUGGUUUUGCCGCCAAGGAAACCUGAGGAAAAUGCUGCCCUAGUUAAUGCUGCUGUAGCUCUUAGAAGAAGCUUAAAAUUAAAUAGAUACAGGUUUUUCUUUCAAAAUAUGCUCUUGAAUAAAUUAGUUUGCAUCCAGAAAGGGCAUCUGUUUUCCUUGGCUCAGAUAUUUUUCUAAAAGUGUUUAGGUAUGCAGCUCACGCUGAGACUGGUGCCUAAUAUCUGAGCAGUUCUGAAAAUCAGUCCUGCAUUGUUUCCAAUUAAGCCAGCAAUACUGUUUGAUCUCAGAAUUUUAAAUACAGAAAUGCUGCGGGGUCAGUAACCCCGGGAGAGGGAAAGGAUGGGCACUUGGACACCAGAGCUCAUGAGGUGAAGAGCUGAGUGGCCUGGUAUUUAGUAACGCAUACCAGCUAACACUAAACCUUCUCUUUUAUAGUUGAGGAAGAAGCUGAAAACACUGGGCACAUCUCUGUUUUUGUUGGAGGUCACUUGCUGAUUUAUCUCCAAUUCACAGUUCAUUAGAAGUGGCUAGAUCUUGCCUUGGUACAACCAUUGCUUUUAUUGCUCAUGGAGGAGUGUAUCCCUUCAAAUGCUCCAUAUGUUGUGGCUUCUGUCAUCAAGGUUGGAAAGACCAAAAGGAGAGGCUGCAGAGUGACCUUCUGGCGGUUUUUCUGUCUUCCCUCCACCCUGCAUCUGAGGCUUGGGAGUUCUUCCGGUCCUUCUUUGGGAAGAACUCUAUAGCUCAGUCAAAAGGUGUUCAUACUGAAGUCUGGUUUGUUUUGAUCAUGAAAUAUUUUUGUGGUUAUAGACUCCUGCUUCUCAGGAACAAAAUGGUGGGAUUAUGGUAGAUCUGUGAGCUCAAUGUUCCAUGGUCCAGAGAGCACGUAGCAUACUAGGAAUUACUAGAACAGAAACAGAGAAAAAAACAUCAGAAACUUUCUGAUACUGCUGUAAAACCAUCAUAUAUCUGCAUCAUGCAAUCAAAAAUACGGCUGAUGUGGUGAUUGUGAACCAUAUCUCCGUGUUCCUUCUACAAAAGGCCUUGAAGUCAUUUAAAGAUAUAACUUUUAUGCUAUUCCUUUUCUGAUUAAAAUAAUCUUCUGUAAGCAGUUUGAUGAUACAUAUAAAUAUUAUGGUUAGCAGUCUUCAUGGUUAAAGUAAGGCUUUUCUCUUUGGCAAGAGGAAGGCUUUACAUGCAAAUUCAGAUUCCUAAUGCAUUUCUACUAACUUCACACUUGCAUUCCAACGGAAUUAAGAAAAACUGUAAUUUUAAUAUCUUCUUUUUUAUCUGUUUCUUUAUCUUCUUCUCAUUUCAUUUCUUGCUUCCUUAUCUUUCCCUUUAUUUUUCUUUUUUUGUGUGUAUAUUUUUGGCUUCGUUUUUCUCUUGUGUUUGUUUCCUUUGCCUUGACCUUUCUCCCAAUUGCUUCAGUUUUGCUCUUUUUAUCUAGACCUGAAUAUACACAUUGAAUCAUCAUUUUUCUCUCCUUCCAUUUCUACUUCCUUUCCUCUUCUACUCCAGUACUUAUAUUUUCCCCUUUCCUCCCUAAUGUUCCCAUUUUUCCUCAGCAUUUGUUGAUGUCUCUCUUUCCCGUGUACUUUCCUGUCUUUUUCUCCGUAUUUGGUACUUUAGCUCAGCAGGAGAGACUGAACAGGGAUUUGGGCCUUGAGCUUUUUCUUGAUACUGCAAAAUUGGGUAGAGGGUACCUUAAAAUCGUGGGGGUCAGGGUAUCUCCUAACUGACCUGUGGCAUGAGGAUGACUGAGAGAAAAUAAAGUCCUGUUUAACAAAUCUAACUUCUCCUAAAAAUUCAGGCUCCAUCCUUCCAGCUGGAAACAAGAUAAUAUAAUGGGAUGUUACAAGCUGUUAAAAUUUGAGACCCAGGAGGGGGAAUAGUCUGAAGUUAUCCCAUGAACUGUUCCAUUCUUUGUGGGAGGCUGUUAAAAUAAAGCAACAAUAUAAAAGAUGAGUUAUAUACAAUUUAAUGUAAAGCUGUUUGAUGUCAUUAUGAUAUUUCUUCCUUGAUUGUCUAACAUUUGUGUAGUUCUAAAAAGUUUUACAUUUUUUGGUUCUUUCUGAACAUUAUGAAAAUUGUACUGAGAAGAGUAAAUUCAUCUGCAUAAAAUUGACUGCAAAGAGCAA
Strigops habroptila (Kakapo) is the source of this 2471-nucleotide long non-coding RNA. NCBI's taxonomy places the organism in Eukaryota, Metazoa, Chordata, Aves, Psittaciformes, Psittacidae. The record is from Ensembl.